AUACGUAGGUGACAAGCGUUAUCCGGAUUUACUGGGCGUAAAGGGCGUGUAGGCGGUCUUGCAAGUCAGAAGUGAAAUUCCUGCGCUCAACUCGGGCGCUGCUUCUGAAACUGCAGGACUUGAGUGCUGGAGGGGAUAGCGGAAUUCCUAGUGGAGCGGUAAAAUGCGCAGAUAUUAGGAAGAACACCGGUGGCGAAGGCGGCUAUCUGGACAGUAACUGACGCUGAGGCGCGAAAGCGUGGGGAGCAAACAGGAUUAGAUACCCUGGUAGUCCACGCUGUAAACGAUGAAUACUAGGUGUGGGGGGACUGACCCCCUCCGUGCCGCAGUUAACACAAUAAGUAUUCCACCUGGGGAGUACGAUCGCAAGAUUGAAACUUAAAGGAAUUGACGGGG
Molecule: ribosomal RNA, 396 nt
Filed under: uncultured bacterium
Lineage: Bacteria
Description: partial 16S ribosomal RNA
Rfam family: Bacterial small subunit ribosomal RNA
Source: RNAcentral